AGUAAGCCAGCAUAAAGGAGGCAGCAUGGCAAACAAUCAGUCUCUCACUAACAGACACUACGUACCUGGAUUGUGGAGUUACUCGCCUGUGGACAUACCAGAAAAUACUACAAACUUGGACAUUUGUAUAUGCACCGGUGGACAUUCUCACUUGCACAUUGGGACUUAUCAGCACAUAGGAUACUGUUUUAGGGAUUGUCAAAGAAGGUGGAGAAUUUCCAGAGAGAAAGACUGUAGUUUGGUGAAGAAGUGGCAUAAGAGCAUCACCAACCAUGUACUGGUCUGCCACUAGCUCUAAUUCAGGACCAGAGAAGGUAGCCAAAUGGACCUCUAUCAUCAACCACAUUCAAGACAUUCACACACAUUCUGACCCAGCGUUCCCUAGGUGUCAGUAAUAACAAAGGGUGUCUAAGGACCAUAGCAAGUGGUUUCAACCAGUUUCGACAGCACUGAAUAGGCUAUAUAAGGUCCUGAUAAACAAGAGUCCUUUCAGAUGUGGAGAAGCUGAGGCCACAUUACCAGACAUCAACUGUGGAGUCAUUUCACAAAGUCAUCUUGCACUUUGCACCCAAAAAUGUUGUCUUCCCCUUCAUCGGAAUGCUAUGCAGGUUGUACCUUGCAGAGAUGCACUUCAAUGAGAAUGCUGUCCGGCCACAAAUGACAGCUUCUCUUUCCAAAGGCCAAAAAGGGAGGACAUACCGUCAAACCAGUAAAGACAGAGCCAACAUUUUGCUAUGUCGUCAACUUGAUGAAUGGUGUUUUUGAAUAGGUUGUCCGUGAUCCACUUCCAUAUCUGGAUGCCAUACAGCAGAUUCCUGUGCCUCAGGACCUGUCUGCUCAGCAUGACAGACCUUCCAUGGAGAAAGCUGUUGCUGAGCAUGUGUUGCGUUUCAGUUGACACAAUAGUGUCACAUCAAUAAGUAUGUCAUUAUCGCAUAUUUCUUCGUUUUUAACAUAGAUCAGACAGUAUGGCUGUGCAAUGCACUGAACUCAAUGUAAUAUGGAUGUAACAGAGCCAAAUUCUACAACUGUGUGAGAUUGGCCUUACCUUUCCAUCCCUCUGAGUCUCACACGCUCAUGGUCAGCUCUAUAAACACUCAUUGCAUUUUGCAAAGAAUAUAUAUUUAAGCACACAGGUUCAAGGCCGGGAUGGUCUGUCAUGCAUGGCGUCUCAUAAGGAACUUGGCUUAUUCUUCUUCUGACCUGCAAAAGAAAAAAACAUAAUGGCACUGUUAUUUACAGUAAUCUUUCAUACUUUUGAAGUAGCAGAAAGCACACAUACGGGUUGAAUGAAUUUCUAUCCAGUGUAGUUGUGAAAUACCUGUGGUAUUUCCUUGCAACAUAUAUAUUUUCUCUCUCAAGGGCCAUGCGUGCACAAGUUCCACAUUAGGGACCAGAUGCCACACAGUCACACGCCCCGGGUUUGCGUGGAACUCGUCAGUCUGAUCUUCGUCAGAGGAUGUAGGGUUAGCUAAUACCUUUUAGUCGGUUGCCUACUGCUCACUCGUACAAAAGUGUAGUUUAUUUAGUCACUUCCUUACAACUUGCUAAAUCAGUGAUAGACAGAAAUCAAAAGGUCUUCAGAUGACAUGCCUACUGCUCCAUUCAUUCAUGAGCCUUUAGUUUAACCUAUUCUGAACACAGAUUUGUGGUAGCACCAGCCUCCUCUUAAUCUACUGGUCAUAAUGAUUUCAGGGGAUGGGGAUGAGUGAAGAGAGUUUGUGCAAGGCAGUGUCCUAUGCCAUUUCGUUGAGAUCUUCUCUCCAGAUGAGUUUUAUUGUUUUAUUUCAGGGUGUUUGAUCUCAGCUUUUGUCUUAGCAGGAAAAUCAAGUCUUACACAGCCCAUUUCAUUCUAGGGACAAAUCCUAGGGUUUUAAAUGGACAUGUAAAACCGUAUCUGUAGAAUUUUUGCCCUUAACUAUGCCACAUACCUUCUAUGUAGAUAUCAGAGAACAAUUUAAAAUAAUGUAUCAAUGCAUUCUAUGGCACCUUUAAAUUUUUCAAACUCGAAUGACUCAGGAACUCAAAUCCAAACUCGAAUGACUCAGGAAUACAAUGAAGAUACUUUAAUUCAUGAAGCCAACAUACUGCGGAGAAUCCACAGGGCACACCAAACAAUAACACAGACAACAUAACAGAACCUAGCCUUACGGUGACAUGGUACCCCUCAUGGAAUUUAUUAAAAUAUAUAUAUAUAUAUAUAUAUAUCACACACACACAUAUAUAAUAUAUACACACACAUAAUAUAUACAUAUACAUUAUAUAUAUAUAUAUCUGCAACAGUUAGUAUCCUCAAUUCCCAGACAUUUAAAAAGUGUAAUUAAAAGGAAAGGUGAUAUGACACAGUGUGAAACAUGUCUCUAUUUCAACUUUUUUGGAGUAUGUUGCAGCCAUCAAAAUCAAAAUUAGUUUAUAUUUACAAAAUACAAUUAAGUUGUACUUAGUUUUCUUUGUACUUUUGUCAGUAAUAAAGGUUAAAGAGAAUUAGUUUUUUUUCAACUGCUUACACACAAAAUCCUUACUUGUCUCACAAUUUUUUGAAACCUGACACUCAAACAGCAGAACCACACACCAAAUCUGCAAAACCAUACACUAAUUCUUGGCCUUUGUCUAAUUUUUCAAUUUCAUAAAACACUUUUUGCAAAACAUAACACGCAAUUCUCUAUGUAACACACAAAAAUCUAACAGGAAGUAUCUUGAUUUCCUUUUUCAAACACAACCAUUCAAAAUGCCACACUAAUUCAUCAGUGCCUCACACUAACUCCUCACAUGUGCAAACGCUCUUUGCUUUACUUAACACUAUCCAAUCAUGUCUUUAGAAUAGGCCUAUAAAUAGGCCAAAGGUCAAGUUAUAGGUUUUGAACAACUUUUCUGUUGUCUACUUGCUUCCAUAUUCAUAAUUUCUAAACCCUAUUGAGGAUUUUUUUCUCCACAUGGUGCUGGAAAGUGCAUGAUCGUCGUCCCUAUGUCAACAUAACACUUCUCCAGGCAAUGGAGGGGGCAUGUGGAGACACUGACGCUGCCUCCAUCCAAGGUUGGAUACGCAAGAGAGAACAUAGCAUGUGACGUGGAUGAAGUAUUGUGGCCGGAUCCAGCCAGGAGGAGAGAUGGAGCCUAGAUACACCCAACCAUCUCGCCCACCAACAAACGCACACACAAACGCUAUUUUAGAUUUUCAGAAAACAUCAUUCUGUAUGAUUUACGUAUAAGCUUGUUUCCUCAUAGGGACUUGCUGUAAAAAAUGUCCCCACAAACUCAAAAUGCACUGGUAUUACUAUACUUGUGGGGACAUUUGAUCCCCAGCAGGACACACAUACACACCAUUCCUUUGGAAUAUUCAUCUGUUUCAAAAUUAUGCUAGUUUUUUUGGUUGCUUUUUUUUUUUUUUUUUUUUUGUCCAGCUACACAUGGUUGAUGUAUUUAUUUUCUUUUGUACUGUGUAAUACUGUAUUCACAACCACAAAUGCUUACAGUAAAAAAAAAAAAAAAAAAAAAAAGUUGGUUUCAAUCUUGCUUUCAUGCUUACCAUGAAUUUUUCAGCAUCUCUCUGCCAAUUACUUUCAAUCUUACAGAAAUGAAAUGUACACAGGAGCUCAUGAAAGAAGAGCUUUAGGUUUUGAAUAACUGUUUGUAUAUGAUAUAUCCAAAAAUAGAAUAUUAUGGCAAAGGUGUUUGCAAAAUAAGACAAAUGUUUGCUUUUGAGAUGUGUUUGUGAUAUUUUGAAUGCAGUGCUUCAUUUUGCAAGAGAGGUGAGGCAUUUUGCGUGUAAUUCUUGGAUUUGUGUGUAAAGUUUUGAAAAAAAGAGACAAAGUUUUAAAAAUGUGUGUAAACAGUUGAAAAAAACUAACAAAUCACAGAUUCUUGAUUUUAUUGCAUUUUACAAAAUGUACCAACUUUUCUCGAAUUGGGCUGGUAUUCUCCUGUGCUCCUUUGUGUUUUUGUUUUGACUGAAUUGUUACUAAAUGUUACUGUUGCA
This is a long non-coding RNA of Ctenopharyngodon idella (grass carp), 3976 nucleotides long. RefSeq lists it as uncharacterized. The record is from RefSeq and is a predicted model, not a curated record. The transcript is spliced from 5 exons. NCBI's taxonomy places the organism in Eukaryota, Metazoa, Chordata, Actinopteri, Cypriniformes, Xenocyprididae.